RNAcentral lists this ribosomal RNA (493 nucleotides) under uncultured fungus. RNAcentral describes it as "eukaryotic LSU rRNA". The stretch from base 52 to 205 matches the Rfam family "5.8S ribosomal RNA". Lineage: Eukaryota; Fungi. The record is from RNAcentral.
AUUUAAACUAAACAUUAUUGUAACAAAUGUAGUCUUAUUAUAACAUAAUAAAACUUUCAACAACGGAUCUCUUGGCUCUCGCAUCGAUGAAGAACGCAGCGAAAUGCGAUAAGUAAUGUGAAUUGCAGAAUUCAGUGAAUCAUCGAAUCUUUGAACGCACCUUGCGCUCCUUGGUAUUCCGAGGAGCAUGCCUGUUUGAGUGUCAUGAAACCCUCAAACCCAAGUUUUGGAUUUCGAUCCAUGCUUGAGUUUGGAUUUGGAUGUUUGCCGGUGAUGAACCGACUCAUCUUAAAAGUAUUAGCUUGGAUCUGUCUAUAUGACUGGUUUGACUUGGCAUAAUAAGUAUUUUGCUGAGGACAUCUUCGGAUGGCCAGGACCUAGACUACUGUCUGCUAACUAAACCAUCACUUUAAGUGCAUCUUUGGAUGUUACUCAUUGUGUAACUUUGACAUCUGGCCUCAAAUCAAGUAGGACUACCCGCUGAACUUAAGCA